UCCUGGCGUCAGGACGAACGGCUGGCGGCGUGCUUAACACGAUGGCAAGGUCGAACGGGGAUAUUUCUGGAAGGGCUCGGUUUGGAAGGAGAUAUUCGAGUGGCGGACGGGUGAGUAACGCGGUGAGCAAUCUGUCCCGUAGAGGGGGAUAACACUUGGAAACAGGUGCUAAGUACCGCAUAGGACCACGGCAUCGCAUGGUGCUGAGGUGAAAGGAGCAAUCCGGUACGGGGUGAGCUCGCGUCCGAUUAGCCAGUUGGCGGGUAACGGCCCACCAAAGCGACGAUCGGUAGCCGGACUGAGAGGUUGAACGGCCACAUUGGAACUGAGAGACGGUCCAAACUCCUACGGGAGGCAGCAGUGGGGAAUAUUGGGCAAUGGGCGAAAGCCUGACCCAGCAACGCCGCGUGAGUGAAGAAGGCCUUCGGGUUGUAAAGCUCUGUUAUGAGGGACGAAGGAAGUGACGGUACCUCAUAAGGAAGCCCCGGCUAACUACGUGCCAGCCGCUGC
This 510-nucleotide ribosomal RNA is filed under the name uncultured bacterium. RNAcentral describes it as "bacterial SSU rRNA". It matches the Rfam family "Bacterial small subunit ribosomal RNA", at positions 17 to 518 of the family's 1533-position model. The record is from RNAcentral.